UAGGUUUAUAUCCUAAACCUGCUCUAUUGAAUACUGCUCGUUGACUAUUAAGUAUCAUAUUCAGUUUUUCUGAACUUGCGCACAAGAAGAGCCUCAUCAUCAUCUCCCUCAUGAUCUUCUUCUUCACUGCUGCUACUGCAAGACAAAUCUUUGUUAGAUGAUUUAGAUUUGAGAGCUAUUACCUUUUUCUUAUGGGAGGACUCUUCUUCGCUGUGCUGCUUCAUUGUUAGCUCGUGAGUCAUUAGGGAUCCAAGGAGCUCUUCAAGUGGAAGCUUGUUCAAGUCCUUAGCUUCUUGGAUUGCCGUCACCUUGGCUUCCCAUGACCUUGGUAGAAGCGAAGAAUUUUCCUGACAAGAUCACUGUUAGUAUAGUUUUUGCCAAGGCUUUUUAGGCCAUUGACAAUGUCAGUAAACCUAGUGAACAUGCUAGUGAUUGUCUCAUUAGAGUCCAUCUUAAAUAGUUC
This 463-nucleotide long non-coding RNA is filed under the name Phoenix dactylifera (date palm). Its description in RNAcentral is "long non-coding RNA (PDAC_LNC022023)". The record is from RNAcentral. Lineage: Eukaryota; Viridiplantae; Streptophyta; Magnoliopsida; Arecales; Arecaceae.